AGUGUCCUCUUUCUUCAUUCUGCACUCUUCCUAUAAAAUGUUGUGGAAGCGGUAAAGUAUUCGAAUUGACAUUUAUUAUAGUACAGAGAGAAUACUGAGGUGCUUUUGGGGUGGACACUUCGUCAGGAAACUGAGAUGCGAGAGCUUUUGCCUCCCUCCUCAGAGCUGCGCUAGUGCUACAAAGCUCCAGCUUCCAGUGUAAUACAAGACAUCAUGGAGGAGACAUUGCCACCAGUGGUUGCUCGAGAAAGGUAUUUCUUAGCCGCCCGAACUGGAGACGUCAAGGGCAUCAAGGACAGUCUAGAGAACAGUGCCAAGCAUAGCAUGGAUAUAGACAGCGUCGAUGCUAAUGGGCGCUCUGCACUCCACAUAGCGAUAGCAAAUGGAAACCUGGCUGUUAUAUACCUGCUUCUUGAACACAACGUCCAAAUAAAGGAUUCUCUUGAGAGCUGUGGAGCACAACUUCGGGGAAGCUGUCAGGAUUCUGUGCGAUGUUGCUAACAAGUCAAGGGAUUAUGCAGAGGGUCGACAGAUUAUUGACUGCCGUUGCUCCAAUGAUGACUUCCAUCCUUACAUCAAUCCAAUCAUUCUCGCUGCUCAAAGAAAUAAUUUCCAGAUGGUGAAGCUAUUCCUAGAAGCUGGUGCACGCAUCCCAUGAGCCCGCGACGCGGCCGUUAACACCGCCUCUACAGACAGUUUCCAGCGAUCCGUCGCCACGAUGGAGAUAUACAAAGGUCUCGCGAGCGAGGCAUACAUAGCCAGAGCGAGCAACGACCCAGUGGAUCGGGCGUUAACGCUCUGUGAUGAGAUCAGACGACUUGGUGAGAUCGAGAUUGAGUUCAAAGUGUUGUAUAAUGAACUAGAGGUGAAUAUGGAAUGAUUCUCUACGGAGUUUAUCUCGCAGGCAAGAAGUACGGAAGAGAUUAUGACGGUCCUGUCCAACCCUGAUGAAGACAACCCAAUGAGUAGUGAAGAGACUUCACAUUCACCUCUACCUAAGAUA
Long non-coding RNA from Asterias rubens (European starfish), 1003 nucleotides. RefSeq lists it as uncharacterized. The record is from RefSeq and is a predicted model, not a curated record. Lineage: Eukaryota; Metazoa; Echinodermata; Asteroidea; Forcipulatida; Asteriidae. The transcript is spliced from 6 exons.